RNAcentral lists this ribosomal RNA (492 nucleotides) under uncultured bacterium. RNAcentral describes it as "partial 16S ribosomal RNA". It matches the Rfam family "Bacterial small subunit ribosomal RNA", at positions 29 to 507 of the family's 1533-position model. The record is from RNAcentral.
AGUGAACGCUGGCGGUAGGCCUAACACAUGCAAGUCGAACGGCAGCACAGUAAGAGCUUGCUCUUACGGGUGGCGAGUGGCGGACGGGUGAGGAAUACAUCGGAAUCUACUUUUUCGUGGGGGAUAACGUAGGGAAACUUACGCUAAUACCGCAUACGACCUACGGGUGAAAGCAGGGGAUCUUCGGACCUUGCGCGAUUGAAUGAGCCGAUGUCGGAUUAGCUAGUUGGCGGGGUAAAGGCCCACCAAGGCGACGAUCCGUAGCUGGUCUGAGAGGAUGAUCAGCCACACUGGAACUGAGACACGGUCCAGACUCCUACGGGAGGCAGCAGUGGGGAAUAUUGGACAAUGGGCGCAAGCCUGAUCCAGCCAUGCCGCGUGAGUGAAGAAGGCCUUCGGGUUGUAAAGCCCUUUUGUUAGGAAAGAAAAGCAGCAGGUUAAUACCCCGCUGUUCUGACGGUACCCAAAGAGUAAGCACCGGCUAACUUCGUG